GAUGAACGCUGGCGGCGUGCCUAAUACAUGCAAGUCGAGCGAACGGACGAGAAGCUUGCUUCUCUGAUGUUAGCGGCGGACGGGUGAGUAACACGUGGAUAACCUACCAUAAGACUGGGAUAACUUCGGGAAACCGGAGCUAAUACCGGAUAAUAUUUUGAACCGCAUGGUUCAAAAGUGAAAGACGGUCUUGCUGUCACUUAUAGAUGGAUCCGCGCUGCAUUAGCUAGUUGGUAAGGUAACGGCUUACCAAGGCAACGAUGCAUAGCCGACCUGAGAGGGUGAUCGGCCACACUGGAACUGAGACACGGUCCAGACUCCUACGGGAGGCAGCAGUAGGGAAUCUUCCGCAAUGGGCGAAAGCCUGACGGAGCAACGCCGCGUGAGUGAUGAAGGUCUUCGGAUCGUAAAACUCUGUUAUUAGGGAAGAACAUAUGUGUAAGUAACUGUGCACAUCUUGACGGUACCUAAUCAGAAAGCCACGGCUAACUACGUG
This 496-nucleotide ribosomal RNA is filed under the name uncultured bacterium. RNAcentral describes it as "partial 16S ribosomal RNA". It matches the Rfam family "Bacterial small subunit ribosomal RNA", at positions 28 to 507 of the family's 1533-position model. The record is from RNAcentral.